Molecule: ribosomal RNA, 515 nt
Filed under: uncultured bacterium
Lineage: Bacteria
Description: partial 16S ribosomal RNA
Rfam family: Bacterial small subunit ribosomal RNA
Source: RNAcentral
GAUGAACGCUGGCGGCGUGCCUAAUACAUGCAAGUCGAGCGAAUGGAUUAAGAGCUUGCUCUUAUGAAGUUAGCGGCGGACGGGUGAGUAACACGUGGGUAACCUGCCCAUAAGACUGGGAUAACUCCGGGAAACCGGGGCUAAUACCGGAUAACAUUUUGAACCGCAUGGUUCGAAAUUGAAAGGCGGCUUCGGCUGUCACUUAUGGAUGGACCCGCGUCGCAUUAGCUAGUUGGUGAGGUAACGGCUCACCAAGGCAACGAUGCGUAGCCGAGCUGGGAGGGUGAUCGGGCACACUGGGACUGAGACACGGCCGAGACUCCUACGGGAGGCAGCAGUAGGGAAUCUUCCGCAAUGGACGAAAGUCUGACGGAGCAACGCCGCGUGAGUGAUGAAGGCUUUCGGGUCGUAAAACUCUGUUGUUAGGGAAGAACAAGUGCUAGUUGAAUAAGCUGGCACCUUGACGGUACCUAACCAGAAAGCCACGGCUAACUACGUGCCAGCCGCCGCAGUAA